Molecule: long non-coding RNA, 514 nt
Filed under: Mytilus galloprovincialis (Mediterranean mussel)
Lineage: Eukaryota; Metazoa; Mollusca; Bivalvia; Mytilida; Mytilidae
Source: RNAcentral
UGGGUGUUCUACUAUACAGAUACAGCCCUACAGAUAUCGCUAUGCUGUAUCUGUAUACUAUACAGAUAUCGCUUUAAAGCUCUGCCCACUGCCGGACUGAGUAUUGUCUGAACCUGUGUGACCUCAGAAUGUGUAUUCCAGUUGCAUUCCAAUGACGAUGACAAUUGUCGAUUUCAAAACUUGAAUGUGUAUGAUUGUGUUACAAAAUCAACCAUGUCAAUUCAGCAUGCAUGUUUAGUGAAUGUCAAGUCUGAAGCGUAGGACAACUCGUACACUUCUGUUUCAAAUUUGACAAUGUUUUGUUAUUUGUUUUUACUGUUGAAAUUAGAUGUUAUGUUAAAAUAGAUAAUUAUUCACCUUGAGCGAUGUAUUAUUGUUGACCAUUCGAGAUUUCUUUUUUUGCGAACCCGUCUUCAGCGUAAUGUGUGAUUUUGAUAUUACUACGCGGGCCUCAAGGGAUUACAAUUUAAGAAUUGAAUGCUUCUUUUUGUAAAUUUAUUGGGGUGUAAAAGCG